UAUUCUGCCCCAUGGGGAAGGAUGAGAAGCUUCGACUAAGGUUCGACUCGAGCGAAGCGAGAGA
This 64-nucleotide small RNA is filed under the name Klebsiella pneumoniae. Its description in RNAcentral is "partial RtT sRNA". It matches the Rfam family "RtT RNA", at positions 1 to 64 of the family's 130-position model. From Rfam's summary of the family: This family represents a bacterial cis-regulatory element known as RtT RNA. The exact function of RtT is unknown although it is thought that it may be involved in changing the cellular response in relation to amino acid starvation. The record is from RNAcentral. Lineage: Bacteria; Pseudomonadati; Pseudomonadota; Gammaproteobacteria; Enterobacterales; Enterobacteriaceae. RNAcentral also lists the same sequence under 1 other name.